Molecule: ribosomal RNA, 395 nt
Filed under: uncultured bacterium
Lineage: Bacteria
Description: bacterial SSU rRNA
Rfam family: Bacterial small subunit ribosomal RNA
Source: RNAcentral
AUUGAACGCUGGCGGCAUGCCUUACACAUGCAAGUCGAACGGCAGCACGGGGCAACCUGGUGGCGAGUGGCGAACGGGUGAGUAAUGCAUCGGAACGUGCCAUUGAGUGGGGGAUAACGUAGCGAAAGUUGCGCUAAUACCGCAUAUUCUGUGAGCAGGAAAGCAGGGGACCGCAAGGCCUUGCGCUCUUUGAGCGGCCGAUGUCAGAUUAGCUAGUUGGUGAGGUAACGGCUUACCAAGGCGACGAUCUGUAGCGGGUCUGAGAGGAUGAUCCGCCACACUGGAACUGAGACACGGUCCAGACUCCUACGGGAGGCAGCAGUGGGAAUUUUGGACAAUGGGCGCAAGCCUGAUCCAGCCAUGCCGCGUGAGUGAAGAAGGCCUUCGGUUGUAAG